RNAcentral lists this ribosomal RNA (460 nucleotides) under uncultured bacterium. RNAcentral describes it as "partial 16S ribosomal RNA". It matches the Rfam family "Bacterial small subunit ribosomal RNA", at positions 338 to 795 of the family's 1533-position model. The record is from RNAcentral.
CCUACGGGGGGCUGCAGUGAGGAAUAUUGGUCAAUGGGCUUACGCCUGAACCAGCCAAGUCGCGUGAGGGAAGACUGCCCUAUGGGUUGUAAACCUCUUUUGUCAGGGAGCAAUUGGCGCUACGUGUAGCGUUAUCGAGAGUACCUGCAGAAAAAGCAUCGGCUAACUCCGUGCCAGCAGCCGCGGUAAUACGGAGGAUGCGAGCGUUAUCCGGAUUUAUUGGGUUUAAGGGGUGCGUAGGCGGAAUGCCAAGUCAGCGGUAAAAUCGCGGGGCUCAACCUCGCUCCGCCGUUGAAACUGGCGGUCUUGAGUGGGCGAGAAGUAUGCGGAAUGCGUGGUGUAGCGGUGAAAUGCAUAGAUAUCACGCAGAACUCCGAUUGCGAAGGCAGCAUACCGGGGCCCAACUGACGCUGAAGCACGAAAGCGUGGGUAUCGAACAGGAUUAGAUACCCGGGUAGUC